RNAcentral lists this unclassified non-coding RNA (1593 nucleotides) under Zea mays. Its description in RNAcentral is "misc RNA Zm00001eb432970". The record is from RNAcentral. Lineage: Eukaryota; Viridiplantae; Streptophyta; Magnoliopsida; Poales; Poaceae.
CGUUGCAACUAGCCGUUUUUUACCGUUUGGAGUCCAAAAAAUUCGAAAAAAAAUUGCAAAAAAUCACAAAUUUCAUCCCCAAUCCCUCUAUAUAUACCCCUACCCGGGUGGAGCUCAUUCCACACACCAUUUCAUCUCAUUUUUCUCUUCCAAACUCCUCUUUCUUCACACAAUGUCGGGUUGGUCCCCAGAUUUGAACACCUUCACGGAUCUCUUGCAGUCCGAUGGGUCACCUACAACCCUUCCGUUAGAUGAGUCUUCUUCACUACAUCGUCGCUCCGAUGUUUCAGCCUCACUCCCCCGUGCACUAUUUCCGGCUGCGCGUCCACCACCAUACCCUUAUCCCUAUCAUUUGUAUCAAUAUCCACCGUCUUCAUAUGGUCAACCUCCAACUUCCCAAGCCGGAAUUCAAGCCUCAUUCCCGGUACGUCCGUAUGCCCCUCCCCCAUCUGCUGCGGACGAAAGUCAAGCUUCUUUCCAGAUACCUCCAUACGCCCCUCCUCCAUGUGCUCCACCUCCGUAUGGAGUACCUCCUUAUGCUCCAUAUGCUCCACCUCCGUAUGGAGCACCUCAUCCAUAUGCUCCACCUACGUAUGGAGCACCUCCUCCAGUUGCACCUUUAUCUGUUGGAUCUGAAAACCAAGCCGAGGAAAAUCCCGUGCCGAAGGAAAAGCGUCCAAAGAGGCUAAGAGUGGACGAAGGAAGACGAGGAAAAGCUGGUUAAUGCUUGGUUUAUGCAUUCUAAUGAUCCCAUCUCCGGCAACAAUAAGAGCGGUUCAAGUUUCUGGGGCCAAAUAGCGGCAACAUAUAACUCCACCUCCGACCCUAUCCGUCAUCGAACCGCCAAGCAACUUAAAGAUCAUUGGGUCACCUACAACCGGGAGGUGACCAAGUUCAAUGGAUUCUACCUCCAAGAAGAAAGGUUGCGUCAGAGCGGAGCUGACGAUGCAAUGGUCAUGGAUGCAGCAAUGGCGAGGUUCGAGGGUAAAAUGGGGCAUCCAUUUAAGCGCCAUCAUUGGUGGCAAGUUGUUCGCCACGAGCCCAAGUGGUCAGCAAAGCAUGGUCUUGGUAGUGGAUCUGAUUCGACUGCGAAUAAGAGAACCCGACUUGGAGUCUCUGGUGAAUAUAGUUCUGGAGGCACUGAAGACACCGAGGAGGAAGUGUCCCGACCAGUGGGGCGUGAUAGGGCAAAGGCGGCUGCGCGAAAGACAAAGACGAAGGGGAAAGGGAAGGAAGCCACGAGCAGCGAAUCAACAAGUGAAGCAUUCAAAAUGAAGAACUUGUGGGGUGGAUUAGUGAAGGCCAAGCUUUUGAAGCAAUGGAACAUCCUAAAGGGCCGAUCAACCAGAUAUAUGAACCCGGCUGAAAGACGUACCCAUGUCAGGGCCGUAAAGAUGGUCGAAAAAGAACUUGGUCUGCUAGAUGACGUAGAAGAGGAAUCGGAAGCGGAACGUGAAGAGGAGGAAGAUGAGGAUGAGAUCGAGGAGUCCGAUUAGAGUUAUGUAAUUUUAUUUUAAUUAUCAUGUCAUUUUAUUUUAAUUAUUAUGUACUUUGUAAUUUUUAAUUCAAUAAAAAAUAUUAUGUUGUGUGUUU